This 433-nucleotide ribosomal RNA is filed under the name uncultured bacterium. Its description in RNAcentral is "partial 16S ribosomal RNA". It matches the Rfam family "Bacterial small subunit ribosomal RNA", at positions 29 to 507 of the family's 1533-position model. The record is from RNAcentral.
AACGAACGCUGGCGGCAUGCCUAACACAUGCAAGUCGAACGAGACCUUCGGGUCUAGUGGCGCACGGGUGCGUAACGCGUGGGAACCUGCCCUUAGGUUCGGAAUAACUCCUCGAAAGGGGUGCUAAUACCGGAUAAUGUCUUCGGCCCAAAGAUUUAUCGCCUUUGGAUGGGCCCGCGUUGGAUUAGCUAGUUGGUAGGGUAAAAGCCUACCAAGGCGACGAUCCAUAGCUGGUCUGAGAGGAUGAUCAGCCACACUGGGACUGAGACACGGUCCAGACUCCUACGGGAGGCAGCAGUGGGGAAUAUUGGACAAUGGGCGAAAGCCUGAUCCAGCAAUGCCGCGUGAGUGAUGAAGGCCUUAGGGUUGUAAAGCUCUUUUACCCGGGAUGAUAAUGACAGUACCGGGAGAAUAAGCUCCGGCUAACUCCGUG